Vicia villosa (hairy vetch) is the source of this 2608-nucleotide long non-coding RNA. RefSeq lists it as uncharacterized. The transcript has 3 exons. NCBI's taxonomy places the organism in Eukaryota, Viridiplantae, Streptophyta, Magnoliopsida, Fabales, Fabaceae. The record is from RefSeq and is a predicted model, not a curated record.
AAACAUUAUAAUUUAAAUGCUUAUUAAGAAUAACCAUUCCUCCUGGUCCCACCCUGUCAACGGGAAUAUUAGAGGGACUUUCCUCUUUUGCUGAAGGCGUAAACACGCUCAACACCUUCUCUCUGCUCAGUGAGUUUUCUGAAAUAGGAUCUAAGGUGCACAGGUUAUCUGAAAGAGUUCUCAUCUCUGAUGUCGACAUCGUAAUUAAUGCCAUGGUACGGAUUCCUAGGCGUGUUUCCGUUCUGAUUCGACCGGCGCCGCGGCGAAUCGGUUUCUCCACCGAGGGAUCCCUGAAGAGAAGCCGUGUUGUCUCCGACCGACGAUGACCCGCAAGAAGAUGGAUUCACGUCCGAUUCUCCUGAUGCCCAGGUUUGUUCUUCGAUGAUUAAAACAGUAUACCAAUCUCCAUCUAUGUUAACCCUAGCUCUGCUUCGAAUUAAAUCCAGGUGAUCUGUGAAAAUCAUUAUUCUGCAAACAUCCAGUCGGUUCUCCUUUUGAUUCAGGGUUUGGGGAUUCAACAUCUUCCCAUAUCCAGCUAACAGGGUGUUCAAGAAUCUUUCGUUUCUGGAGAAGCAAGGAACACCGUAGAUGGCCACCGAAGCGACUCUAGCACAUUCAACAUCUGUUUUCUUCCAUCUCCUCACAUCUUCAAACCAGAAUUCCAGCCAGUCUUUCCCUUCUUGCAUCAACGUUUCAAGCUCACCUUCCGCUAUCUCCUCUAACAGACAUAAGCUUGGGCCUAGAGCUGUUGCCGACACGGUGAAGAUCCCCUCCUCCAAUAAACUGUUAGCCACUACGUUUCGACUCAAGAUCUCCUUUGAUGAUGUCUGCAAAGGACUUCGAAGAACCCUCACCUCCCCCAACCUUAGAAACCAUUUUGUUAUUUCUGAUAGCAUUAGCUGAGAAACUCGCCCUUUUAGGUAAAGAGUUUAUCUCCUGUUUCCUUAGAUUAGCUGCUGGGUUGUUUAUGUUUCUCAAUUCUUUCCGUUUAAUCCUUGAAAUGUUGGCGCUAAGCUUAGUGCCAUCAAGCCAAACAUUGUCCAUUUUGGUCUCCAAGAACUUCUCGUCUGUUACGUUUACGAAUCUGACGAACCCAAAUCUUUGACCUCGCCAAUCCCUUUUUGGAGGUAUAACAAUUUCUUCAAUCACCCCCAUCUCCUUGAACCCUAUGAAAAGGUCUCUAGCACACCAUUUUUCUGUGAAAUCAGUAAUGAAAAUGGUGAGAACAUCCUUCCUGUUUGACUCUAUCUCCUUUCUAACAAUGUCCCAUUUAGGUCUCUCCACAAUAGGUCUCUCCAUGAAUUUGUUCUUCUUCCCUGUUACCCUGCGCCAUUCUCCUGCCAUGACUAGCCGGUGAAAACGUUGAAAUCUCAAAAAAGCUCAAAACCUGAUAGAACACUCACACACUCUCUGUUUUUUCUACAUUCUGUAAUAUUCAUGUUGUUUUUUUUUGCAACAAUGAUUGUUUAGUUAACGGUGGAAACACUAUUCCUAAUGGAGGUGUUAUUUCCUUCAAAUAUGCUAACACAUAUUCUUAUGCUCUUUCUGUUUCAUCUGUGGAUUGUUUUCCAAGAUUCUUAUUUACACAUGAUUUUUCUAUUCUUAUUCCAAGGCUUAAAAGAGUGAGAAUAUAACAUUUUCUUAGGAAUAAGUUCAACCAACUCUAACUUUCCAUUGUCAAUCUCAUUUUCUAUUAUUUUUAUUUUUGUAUAAUUUUAAAUUAAACAAAUUUUAUCAUUAUUCCUUGGAAAUUAAAUUCUUAGCAAACACAUAUGUUGGAAUAUUAUUUCAAGGAAUACUAAUCCUAGGAAUACCAUUUCAAAAAAUAACUUUUCUAACCUUGAAACAAAUACACCCUUGAACAUAUAAAAUAGAGGUGUUACAAUUAACUUUGCUAAAAAUCUCAUUGCACAUGAGAUGAGAAAACAUAUUAAGAUGAGGUUUCAUUACUUGAGGGAUCUAGUGUGUGAAUGCAAGCUGGGGUUGGGAUACUGUCGAAGUGAAGAACAAGUUGCAGAUUUGCUGACGAAAGGGGUCACAAAUGUUUUGUUCAAGAAGUUGGUAAUGAGCCUGAGCAUGAAAAACUUGGAGCAUUUGAAUAAAGGUGGUGUAUUGAAUGUGCAUAGUAAUUCAAACGCAAUAUAAGCUUCUGGGAGCAAUCUGAUGUGAACAACUUAAAAAAUAAACACUUUUGAAAGCAUAACCGAUUACAGGAGGCUAUUUUAAUUUUUGCAUUUCUGUUAUGUGUAGGCGUGACUGGUUACAGCAUUUGGCGUAACCAGUUACGAGCCCAAGUUUAAGCUUUUUAGCUUUUUUUUUAGUUGUUUUGUAUUCCACUUGUUUGGACUUAACUUGUAUAAGUACCAUCAAGUGUAACAUUUGUUGUUAAUGUCAAAUUCACUCAUCAUCUCAAUUACUCUCUCUUUUUCACUCUAUUAUUUUCUCACUUUCAUCUUCCUCAAUUAUCACCUUUCUCCGUUGAUUCACCAAAAUAAUUUAUGUAAGUGCUAACAUAUUUGAUGUAUUUUCUCUUCAAGAAGAUAAAAGAUAAAAAGAAAAGUUAUGAGAUUCAUUUAUAAUUAAUGGGAUAAAAUUGUGUCUCCGUAAA